This 77-nucleotide transfer RNA is filed under the name Actinomycetota bacterium. Its description in RNAcentral is "Actinobacteria bacterium tRNA-Leu". It matches the Rfam family "tRNA". Rfam says of the family: Transfer RNA (tRNA) molecules are approximately 80 nucleotides in length. Their secondary structure includes four short double-helical elements and three loops (D, anti-codon, and T loops). Further hydrogen bonds mediate the characteristic L-shaped molecular structure. tRNAs have two regions of fundamental functional importance: the anti-codon, which is responsible for specific mRNA codon recognition, and the 3' end, to which the tRNAs corresponding amino acid is attached (by aminoacyl-tRNA synthetases). tRNAs cope with the degeneracy of the genetic code in two manners: having more than one tRNA (with a specific anti-codon) for a particular amino acid; and 'wobble' base-pairing, i.e. permitting non-standard base-pairing at the 3rd anti-codon position. The record is from RNAcentral. Lineage: Bacteria; Bacillati; Actinomycetota.
GCCUCCGAUAGCCCAAUGGCAGAGGCAGAGGACUUAAAAUCCUCCCAGUGUGGGUUCGACCCCCACUCGGGGCACCA